UCUUCCCAGCUAGAUGCUGAGAGAGUCAAGUCAGCAAAAAAGAAUUUUGAGCUUAAGUCGACCAUAUCUGCAUUGCAAGAAGAAUCUCAGGCAGAAAAAGACCAAUUGAAAAUGACCAUAUCUGCAUUUCAAGAAGAAUUUCAGGUAGAGAAAGACCAGUUGAAAAUACCAUAUCUGCAUUACAAGAAGAAUCUCAGGCAGAGAAAGACCAUUUGAAAGCUACUAUGUCAGAAUUACAGAACGACACCAUAGAAUUCAAAGAGAAAUUAGAUUACACUAAGCAAGAGUGUCAAACUGUUUUGUCUCAACUGCAUAAAGAAAGGGAGUCUCUAAACUCAUACAAAUUAGAAAACUCACAGGUGAAAUCAACUAUUUUGAAUAAAGAGAAAGAAAUAGCAGAUUUGAAAGCUGAAAUUAGAAAUCUAGCUAAUACUUUAGUGGAAUCAGAAUACAUUAGAAACGACCUUGAGAAAGGCUUAGCUGAUGAAAGGGAACAAUUCAAGAAAGAAUGCUCCGUUUUGAACUCAUCAGUAGCAGAACUGACGCAGAAGCUUGAGCACUGUGAGAAUGAGAGAAGUAACUUGAAUCAAACAAUACAGGAGCUCAAGACUAUGAUUGUCCAUUUGGAAAAAGACAAGGAGGCUUGGUCAUCACAGCUGGAAGAAAACUGGAAACUGAUUAAAAAAAUAGAGCCUUUCAGAGAUGUCUUGGAUAAUUUUCAAAUGGAAAAAAAAUUCUUGUUGGAUAGAGACAAAUAUACAAGUGAGCAAAUGGAAAGAUUGACCAAAGAAGCCAUUAAAAACAUGGGUCAUCAAAACCAUCGCCAGAAAGUCAAAUAUGUGGAGGCUUUGAAAAAGGAAAAAAAAUACUCUCUGAAUCUGAGUGCAUGUGCCCAGUAUGCAUUAGCUUACUCCAGUCUGCAGGAAGCGCAUUUCAGUUUGGGCCAGGAAAGCUGCCAAGGAAAAUAAAUUGAUAAAAAUGGAAAGACAUCCAAGAGGCCUUCCCUGAAAAAGUGAGGCGCAGGCUGGAAGCCAGUGAAGAAAGCAACAGUGAAGAUGAGGAAGAUGAUUUUGAAGCACAGGAAAGAUGACAAAUUUCCUGUCCUGGAGAAAUCAGACAAGAAUAUGAAGCUGCUAUCCAGCAGAUUCAGCAAAAAAAGGACGAACAGGCAAAGAAAGAGGAGGAGGCCAGUAAAGUAAAUUUUGAAGCUCUGCAACAGGAAGAAUUUUUGUCAGAGAAAGUGGAAAUAGAAGAGAAAGCACUGGUGCUUGAAAAGAAAAAGUCUAAAAAAAAUAGCCUCUUUCUGAAUCCAUUUGUCAGAUUAAAGAAGUGCUUAAAAGCCGAGGAAUUAGUGUUAAGUUGGAGAGCUAACAACUGUCUUCCAUGACUCUUCCCAACUCACAGAAAACAGAUCAGCUAUACCUGCUGGCAAUAGUUCAGUUCAGACUGAUGACCUUAGGUUUGCAACAAAAUUACAAGAAUUUUUUGACUUAAUGGAUAAAAAAAGAAUAGUGGUGGAUAGGUCAAAAGGAUCUAGCAAUGAAUAUACUUUGUGAAGAAAGCAUAAAUGUGAUGAGUGACUGUUACAUUGUGUUGUUGAUUGUUAUAUGUUGGGUUGAGUUUUUUUUUAUGUUUUAGUAAUGUUUUUGUUGUUGGCUACUUUCUUUAGAUACUGUCACAUGACCCAUAACAGUCUGACCUUUUGCACUUACCUAUACUAUUGAAUGACAUAGUCAUACAAAAUAACAAUUUAAAAGAAAGAAUAAUUAUAAGUUAUGUUAUUUAUCAGCCUCUAGGCAUUAAUUUAUUGUUUAUGUCCAGAAUGUACAGAAUGCUGUGUAAACAUAUGAUGUUAUUCUAAACACAGACUUAUUGUUCUUGAGUUGUAGAUUCCAAGUGCUUCCUAUUCUAUCUAGAUCACAUGUUUUUGAAUUAUAUUGGUGUAUAUAUAUAUAUAAAUAUACAUUACAAUUUAUUGAUGAUUCUAUAUAUCCAUCAUUUGAAACCUUUCAUUUACUUUUUUUUACUGCUAAUUAUCAAACAAAAUUUCUAGAUUACAUGUAUGAUCUUUGCAUAGUCUAUGCCAAACAUUUACCCUGGAUUGUCAUGUUAUAUUUGAUAUUUUCAUGUAUUAACUUACUGCCAAAGCCUUAAAGAGAAAUACAUUCAUUAAUCCAAACUUUGCAAAAAAAACACUAUUUGAAAAUGUCUAUUUUUUUUUUUUUAACUUUAAGCAAGCAUUGUUUAUUAGAAUACUAUCAGACUUAAUCAAAAUACAUUUUCUUAAACUAAAUUGAACUAAAACUUUGACAGCACAUUGAUUAAAAUGUAACAGACUUUGUUUUUGUCAUGCCUUGUAAUAAAAGCCUUAAUGACAAA
This is an RNA transcript of Biomphalaria glabrata, 2379 nucleotides long. It is a transcript of the gene named hyaluronan-mediated motility receptor-like, with no coding region annotated. NCBI's taxonomy places the organism in Eukaryota, Metazoa, Mollusca, Gastropoda, Planorbidae. The transcript is spliced from 7 exons. The record is from RefSeq and is a predicted model, not a curated record.